This 609-nucleotide ribosomal RNA is filed under the name uncultured bacterium. RNAcentral describes it as "bacterial SSU rRNA". It matches the Rfam family "Bacterial small subunit ribosomal RNA", at positions 331 to 931 of the family's 1533-position model. The record is from RNAcentral.
CCAGACUCCUACGGGAGGCAGCAGUAGGGAAUCUUCGGCAAUGGGGGGAACCCUGACCGAGCAACGCCGCGUGAGUGAAGAAGGUUUUCGGAUCGUAAAGCUCUGUUGUUAAGGAAGAACGAGUGUGAGAAUGGAAAGUUCAUACUGUGACGGUACUUAACCAGAAAGGGACGGCUAACUACGUGCCAGCAGCCGCGGUAAUACGUAGGUCCCGAGCGUUGUCCGGAUUUAUUGGGCGUAAAGCGAGCGCAGGCGGUUAGAUAAGUCUGAAGUUAAAGGCAGUGGCUCAACCAUUGUAGGCUUUGGAAACUGUUUAACUUGAGUGCAGAAGGGGAGAGUGGAAUUCCAUGUGUAGCGGUGAAAUGCGUAGAUAUAUGGAGGAACACCGGUGGCGAAAGCGGCUCUCUGGUCUGUAACUGACGCUGAGGCUCGAAAGCGUGGGGAGCGAACAGGAUUAGAUACCCUGGUAGUCCACGCCGUAAACGAUGAGUGCUAGGUGUUAGGUCCUUUCCGGGACUUAGUGCCGCAGCUAACGCAUUAAGCACUCCGCCUGGGGAGUACGACCGCAAGGUUGAAACUCAAAGGAAUUGACGGGGGCCCGCACAAGAA